RNAcentral lists this ribosomal RNA (554 nucleotides) under Rhizophagus irregularis. RNAcentral's name for it is "SSU rRNA". It matches the Rfam family "Eukaryotic small subunit ribosomal RNA", at positions 557 to 1112 of the family's 1831-position model. The record is from RNAcentral. Lineage: Eukaryota; Fungi; Glomeromycota; Glomeromycetes; Glomerales; Glomeraceae.
AAGUCUGGUGCCAGCAGCCGCGGUAAUUCCAGCUCCAAUAGCGUAUAUUAAAGUUGUUGCAGUUAAAAAGCUCGUAGUUGAAUUUCGGGGUUAGUAGGUUGGUCAUGCCUCUGGUAUGUACUGGUCUCACUGAUUCCUCCUUCCUUAUGAACCGUAAUGCCAUUAAUUUGGUGUUGCGGGGAAUUUGGACUGUUACUUUGAAAAAAUUAGAGUGUUUAAAGCAAGCUAACGCUUGAAUACAUUAGCAUGGAAUAAUGAAAUAGGACGUUCGAUCUUAUUUUGUUGGUUUCUAGGAUUGACGUAAUGAUUAAUAGGGAUAGUUGGGGGCAUUAGUAUUCAAUUGUCAGAGGUGAAAUUCUUGGAUUUAUUGAAGACUAACUACUGCGAAAGCAUUUGCCAAGGAUGUUUUCAUUAAUCAAGAACGAAAGUUAGGGGAUCGAAGACGAUCAGAUACCGUCGUAGUCUUAACCAUAAACUAUGCCGACUAGGGAUCGGAUGAUGUUAAUUUUUUAAUGACUCAUUCGGCGCCUUGCGGGAAACCAAAGUGUUUGGGU